This 170-nucleotide ribosomal RNA is filed under the name uncultured bacterium. RNAcentral describes it as "partial small subunit ribosomal RNA". It matches the Rfam family "Bacterial small subunit ribosomal RNA", at positions 338 to 525 of the family's 1533-position model. The record is from RNAcentral.
CCUACGGGAGGCAGCAGUGGAGAAUAUUGGACAAUGGGCGAAAGCCUGAUCCAGCAAUGCCGCGUGAGUGAUGAAGGCCCUAGGGUUGUAAAGCUCUUUUACCCGGGAAGAUAAUGACUGUACCGGGAGAAUAAGCCCCGGCUAACUCCGUGCCAGCAGCCGCGGUAAUA